GACGUAGGGCGCGAGCGUUGUCCGGAUUUAUUGGGCGUAAAGAGCUCGUAGGCGGCUUGUCGCGUCGGCUGUGAAAACCCGCGGCUCAACUGUGGGCGGGCAGCUGAUACGGGCAGGCUGGAGUUCGGUAGGGGAGACUGGAAUUCCUGGUGUAGCGGAGAAAUGCGCAGAUAUCAGGAGGAACACCGGUGGCGAAGGCGGGUCUCUGGGCCGAUACUGACGCUGAGGAGCGAAAGCGUGGGGAGCGAACAGG
This 253-nucleotide ribosomal RNA is filed under the name uncultured bacterium. Its description in RNAcentral is "partial 16S ribosomal RNA". It matches the Rfam family "Bacterial small subunit ribosomal RNA", at positions 524 to 776 of the family's 1533-position model. The record is from RNAcentral.